AGCGGGGUAGAGGAAUGGUCAACUCAUCCGGCUCAUGACCGGAAGAUUGCAGGUUCGAAUCCUGUUUCCGCUA
Molecule: transfer RNA, 73 nt
Filed under: Rhodiola rosea
Lineage: Eukaryota; Viridiplantae; Streptophyta; Magnoliopsida; Saxifragales; Crassulaceae
Also listed under: 1 other name
Description: tRNA-Met
Rfam family: tRNA
About the family: Transfer RNA (tRNA) molecules are approximately 80 nucleotides in length.
Source: RNAcentral